CACGUACGCAACCUUCCCGAAACUGGUGAAUAGCCCUCCGAAAGGAGGAUUAAUACACCGUAAGAUAAUGGAGUGGCAUCACUCUAUUAUUAUAGCUACGGCGGUUUUGGAUGGGCGUGCGCCUGAUUAGGUAGUUGGCGGGGUAACGGCCCACCAAGCCUGCGAUCAGUAACUGGUGUGAGAGCACGACCAGUCACACGGGCACUGAGACACGGGCCCGACUCCUACGGGAGGCAGCAGUAAGGAAUAUUGGUCAAUGGACGCAAGUCUGAACCAGCCAUGCCGCGUGAUAGAUGAAGGCCCUCUGGGUUGUAAAUAUCUUUUAUCUGGGAAGAAACACUCCUAUUCUUAGGAACUUGACGGUACCAGAGGAAUAAGCACCGGCUAACUCCGUG
Molecule: ribosomal RNA, 395 nt
Filed under: uncultured bacterium
Lineage: Bacteria
Description: bacterial SSU rRNA
Rfam family: Bacterial small subunit ribosomal RNA
Source: RNAcentral